Molecule: non-coding RNA, 75 nt
Organism: Myotis brandtii (Brandt's bat)
Lineage: Eukaryota; Metazoa; Chordata; Mammalia; Chiroptera; Vespertilionidae
Source: Rfam
GGUGGUUCUUGGGUGACACACAGCAGAAUCGGGCUCCUUCCUCUCAGGUUCCGGGUGUGUCACCCGAGAACCGCA